AGUCAAUGACGUAUACCACAUCAUCAAUGGUUACUGACGUCUCUGCAAUGUUGGUAGAGAUGAUGAUUUUGGUCACACCCUCUGGUGGCCGUGUAAACACUGCUUGCUGCUCCUCGUUGGACAGAGAGGAGUGAACUAAUCCAGGCAAGAAAACCAGAACAGCACCUACACAAACACAGAGGAAAACAAGCCAAAGAAUGAAAGUUCAUGCUAUCUGCCUCCAAAACUCCCCCCAUCAAUGUGUCAGAUCCUGGCAUUUCUUAUAUCCACUACAAUAGAUGAAAUGAUUACCUGGAGGAUAACUGUGGUCUCUAUUUACAAUCCACUCUAGUAGACUCUCCACAAGGUCCAUGUUGAUUUUAUCCAGGUCCAUCGCAGCCAGGGUUUUCACCACAGGUUUUGAGCAAGCUUAUGAGUCAAGAUGCAUAUACAGUACAAACUCAUAUAGAGUCAACUAGAAGAAGAUAUUUGUUUUUUGUAUAUAAAUAAAUGUUACUGUUCUAGCUCAAUGACCUAUACCACAGCACUACAACAUGAGUGAAAUAUUCAGCUACUAUCUGUGGUCACUACUUCAAAGUGAAACAGAAAUGUUGAAACAUGCACUUGUACAUCUGCUUACUUGGAUAUCGGAGUGUGAGCUCCUGCACACUGAGUUGCUGGUCAGGGAUGGAUUCUUUGACUGCAUCUUUCUUUACAAAGGAUCUAAAUGACCAGCCAUCAUCAUCAUCGUCCUCCAUGUUCAUCACAGAAGACUGUGCUUUCCCAGCCCUUUGAUUGGGCGGGCCAUUCUGCUUUGCCGAGCGCCGGUAUGGGCUGCGAUCCUCUAUAACAUACCUAACACACACAUAUCAGUAUUACAUGUUAAAUGUUUGUGAAAAUCCAGCUCAUUGCCUACCAGUUUAAUUUAUUUAACUGUUUAGUAGACAAUUAUGAACUAACAUCUGAAUAUGUGACUAUACACUGGCUUGCAUAUGUAUUAACGUCUAAUUUUUUUUUAAAUAAACCCAAAAGUUAUGGAAUUCCCUUUAUCAGUAAACAUAAAACACAGACUCAGAGCGUACUGUUUAGAUUUUAUAUACAGUAUGUUUCAACUUUAUUUCUAGUAUUUAAACAGUGUUUAUGCCUAAUCUCAUAAUUAUACACUGAAAAAAAGUUAACUUAAAAUUUCAAGGCAACUUGCUGCACAGCUUUUUUGAGUUAAAAAUUGAGUUAAGUGAAGAUAAGUUGAGUAAACUCAAAAAAAGCUGUGUAGCAAGUUGCCUUGAAAUUUUAAGUUAAGUCAACUUUUUUUUUUUUUUUUUUUUUUUACAGUGUACCGUUCUGAUGUUUAUACGAAUUGUUUUUUAAUUUUUAUUUGUUUUACUUUAGGUAACUUUUGAGAUGAUAACUGUGUUUUAAUCAACUUUGUUGUUUGUCUUCGUCCUAUGCAAUCUACUGUAUAUAAAGUUGUAUGAAA
This is a long non-coding RNA of Ictalurus punctatus (channel catfish), 1456 nucleotides long. RefSeq lists it as uncharacterized. Lineage: Eukaryota; Metazoa; Chordata; Actinopteri; Siluriformes; Ictaluridae. The record is from RefSeq and is a predicted model, not a curated record. The transcript is spliced from 2 exons.